CCUACGGGGGGCUGCAGUGGGGAAUAUUGGACAAUGGGGGGAACCCUGAUCCAGCCAUGCCGCGUGUGUGAAGAAGGCCCUCGGGUUGUAAAGCACUUUCAAUGAGGAAGAACGCCUGGUGGUUAAUACCCAUCAGGAAAGACAUCACUCACAGAAGAAGCACCGGCUAACUCCGUGCCAGCAGCCGCGGUAAUACGGAGGGUGCGAGCGUUAAUCGGAAUUACUGGGCGUAAAGCGCGCGUAGGUGGCUUGAUAAGCCGGUUGUGAAAGCCCCGGGCUCAACCUGGGAACGGCAUCCGGAACUGUCAAGCUAGAGUGCAGGAGAGGAAGGUAGAAUUCCCGGUGUAGCGGUGAAAUGCGUAGAGAUCGGGAGGAAUACCAGUGGCGAAGGCGGCCUUCUGGACUGACACUGACACUGAGGUGCGAAAGCGUGGGUAGCAAACAGGAUUAGAUACCCGGGUAGUC
RNAcentral lists this ribosomal RNA (465 nucleotides) under Vreelandella stevensii. RNAcentral's name for it is "partial 16S ribosomal RNA". It matches the Rfam family "Bacterial small subunit ribosomal RNA", at positions 338 to 795 of the family's 1533-position model. Lineage: Bacteria; Pseudomonadati; Pseudomonadota; Gammaproteobacteria; Oceanospirillales; Halomonadaceae. The record is from RNAcentral.